This is a long non-coding RNA of Eutrema salsugineum, 2166 nucleotides long. RefSeq lists it as uncharacterized. The transcript has 2 exons. Lineage: Eukaryota; Viridiplantae; Streptophyta; Magnoliopsida; Brassicales; Brassicaceae. The record is from RefSeq and is a predicted model, not a curated record.
UGUCUCAUAAAUCCCAACAUGGUAUCAGAGCCAUCUUUCUUGGUUCCAUCUAAAACUCGAUUCUCUUUCUGUUUCUGUUUUUUUUUUGUGUUUUGUGUUCUUCACUUAGUCCAAUGACUUUUCACGAGGACAAGGGUGGAGUUCUCUUUCUGAUUUAUUUUCUCUUAUUUGUGAAAGCUUGAAUCUGGUAUUGACUUGUGACCAAAAGAACAAGCUUGACAAAAAGAGAAAUAGAUCUUUAAAAAAAACUGGUGGAAAAAUUGUUUUUAACCAUCAGUGUUUGUUUUUUUCUAAACCAUGAGAAGCACUAAGCAUUGUGUAAUUUUUGUGGUCGUUUUUAUUUAUUAAAAUUCUCAUGGGAAGCUCGUGUAAAUGGGUUUUUCCUUGAGUUCUUGUGUUAAUUGAUGGAGAAAUUAAUUUUCCAAUCAGUUUAUCUUGUUCCAGCCAUUAAAACUCCAUAGUCUUGGGAUUCUUGGUGUUUUUGGCUGGCAUUUGCUUUGGCUUAACUCAAGAAAACAGAGCAAAACUCUGUCCAUAAGAACUCUUGAGCAAAAUUUCUUUUCCCAUUCUCCUUUGCUUCCGCUUAUUCUCUAUUCUCCAUUCUCUCAUUCUCUUUAUUCUCCCCAAUAUUCUCUUUAUUCUCCAUUAUUCUCCUUAUUCUCCAAAUUCUCUUUUAUUCUUCUGCUUAUUCUCUAUACUCUAACAAAUACAAUCUCUUGUUUUAGAAUCUGUCUUCAAAUUUAAACAGGUUCGGGUCUUAAAAAGGAUGGUGUUUGGCUCGUUUGCUAUCUCAAGAAGAAGUGGCGAGUUUGAGAGGUCUGAAUGGGUCAUGUGAGCUGGAAGUCAGCUGGUGGCUGUAUUCAGAUCCAUUAAGGCUUCAAAGAAGCCAAAAGAAGGCGCAGCAACAAGCUUAGAAUUGAUCAAGAGGGCCAUCAAGUUUCAGAGACCAAAAGACAAGCCCAACCUAGUUUAACCUGGCUGACUUGAAGAUGGCAGACCAAAGAGGCUGACCUGAAGAUAGCAGACCCAAGGUGGCUAAGGUGGAAGUUCAAGUGGAGAAACAAGCUGAUGGAAGGCUAUGAAUCAAUUCCAAAGUCUUUGCGAGUGCCUUUGGUUUAAGAGCUGAAGAUCGGAUGUGCACAAGAUGUCAAGAUCUAUUUUGCACAUAAUUUCAAGGCUCAAGACAUGUUUAGUGUGCGGGGGAGCUUAAUUGGUGACCAAACCGCAUUUCAAAGGAAAAAGGAGACCAUAAGAGCCUCAAAGAGACCAAAGAAAGCUUCAAAUGCUGGAGAGCCUCAAAGGAGAUGACAAAGAACGGAUUCAUGCGAAGAGAGUUCAAGGCAAGAAGAGCUAAAGGAAUGGAAACACUUGGGAGAGGAGCCGGUUCAAAAGCAAAUUCAAACCAAGGCCAUAGCUACAUCAAGCAACCGUUAAACUAUACUCUUUUUCCCUUCAUAAAGUUUUAUCCCAAGAGGUUUUCUUUAUGAAGGUUUUUUAAUGAGGCAGUUUGGCGUGUUGCAAGCUUGGCCUCUGGUCCUCUUUGGCGUCUCGACGACCAAGCUUGCGGGGGAGUAUUAGAGUGAAAGAAGGAAAGGAGAGGUGAGGCCGAAGUCAACAAGACAAGGCCGAUCAUCUCCAAGUCAAAGAAGAGGAAGAAGAGGAGUGUCAAGGCAAAUGACAUCAAGACAAGGCCGAAGACAACUCCAAGAUCUCUCAAAGAAGAUAAAAAGAAGACAAGACAAGGCUGAAGAAGCUAUUGAUCAAGUCUAGCCUCGGCCUAAAGAAGAAGAAGAACUGUACGGCCAAGUCAACUCCAAGAGGUGUCCGUACAAGUCUAAGGUUGUGUAAGGCCGAGGCCCAUUAGAUAAGAAGAAGAAGAGGACGCCAAGAAAGCCUAAAGAAUGCAAGGAAUAAGGCCCAUAAGUGACAAGAAGAGGAGGGAAACGAAUUCAAAUUCAAGUCUGCUCUCACAUGUGACUUUAGUCACAUGUGACCGUUUAUGAGCUGUCACUUUCAGCUCUUAACAAGACAAAAACGCUCUCUUUAUGUCACUCUCAGUCUUGGCUCAUGUGUUAGGGCUUCCUCUCUUCCUUUCUCUCUAUAAAUAGAGAUGUAACCGAGCUUGUAAAUGUUACACAGAAUCAAUGAAGUGAUUUCUCUCUUUUA